Molecule: transfer RNA, 52 nt
Filed under: Cavia porcellus (domestic guinea pig)
Lineage: Eukaryota; Metazoa; Chordata; Mammalia; Rodentia; Caviidae
Source: Rfam by way of RNAcentral
GGGGAUUUAGCUCAGCGGCAUAAGCACCUGCCUUGCAAGCAGGCAAUCCCUG